RNAcentral lists this ribosomal RNA (494 nucleotides) under uncultured bacterium. RNAcentral describes it as "partial 16S ribosomal RNA". It matches the Rfam family "Bacterial small subunit ribosomal RNA", at positions 28 to 507 of the family's 1533-position model. The record is from RNAcentral.
GACGAACGCUGGCGGCGUGCUUAACACAUGCAAGUCGAACGGUGAAGCGCCUUCCUUUUUGGUGGGUGUGGAUGAGUGGCGAACGGGUGAGUAACACGUGAGUAACCUGCCCCCUUCUUCUGGAUAACCGCAUGAAAGUGUGGCUAAUACGGGAUAUUCUGGGUCUGUCGCAUGAUGGGUCUGGGAAAGAUAUUGUUUCGGUGGGGGAUGGGCUCGCGGCCUAUCAGCUUGUUGGUGGGGUGAUGGCCUACCAAGGCGGUGACGGGUAGCCGGCCUGAGAGGGUGGACGGUCACACUGGGACUGAGACACGGCCCAGACUCCGACGGGAGGCAGCAGUGGGGAAUAUUGCACAGUGGGCGCAAGCCUGAUGCAGCGACGCCGCGUGAGGGAUGGAGGCCUUCGGGUUGUGAACCUCUUUCGCCAGUGAAGCAGGCCUGCCUCGUUUGUGGGUGGGUUGACGGUAGCUGGAGAAGAAGCGCCGGCUAACUACGUG